AGAGUUUGAUCCUGGCUCAGAACGAACGCUGGCGGCAGGCCUAACACAUGCAAGUCGAACGCGACCUUCGGGUCGAGUGGCGCACGGGUGAGUAACGCGUGGGAAUCUGCCCUGUGGUACGGAAUAACAUCGGGAAACUGGUGCUAAUACCGUAUAUCCCCUGAGGGGGAAAGAUUUAUCGCCAUGGGAGGAGCCCGCGUAGGAUUAGCUAGUUGGUGGGGUAACGGCCUACCAAGGCGACGAUCCUUAGCUGGUCUGAGAGGAUGAUCAGCCACACUGGGACUGAGACACGGCCCAGACUCCUACGGGAGGCAGCAGUGGGGAAUAUUGGACAAUGGGGGAAACCCUGAUCCAGCCAUGCCGCGUGUGUGAUGAAGGCCUUCGGGUUGUAAAGCACUUUCGCACGUGACGAUGAUGACGGUAACGUGAGAAGAAGCCCCGGCUAACUUCGUGCCAGCAGCCGCGGUAAUACGAAGGGGGCAAGCGUUGUUCGGAAUUACUGGGCGUAAAGGGCGCGUAGGCGGUGCUCUAAGUCAGGCGUGAAAGCCCUGGGCUCAACCCGGGAAUUGCGCUUGAUACUGGAGCGCUUGAAUCCAGGAGAGGUUGGUGGAAUUCCCAGUGUAGAGGUGAAAUUCGUAGAGAUUGGGAAGAACACCGGUGGCGAAGGCGGCCAACUGGACUGGUAUUGACGCUGAGGCGCGAAAGCGUGGGGAGCAAACAGGAUUAGAUACCCUAGUAGUCC
Molecule: ribosomal RNA, 742 nt
Filed under: uncultured bacterium
Lineage: Bacteria
Description: bacterial SSU rRNA
Rfam family: Bacterial small subunit ribosomal RNA
Source: RNAcentral